UGGGAGGUGUAGGCAGGGCUUGAAUGC
This 27-nucleotide non-coding RNA is filed under the name Homo sapiens (human). The record is from RNAcentral. Lineage: Eukaryota; Metazoa; Chordata; Mammalia; Primates; Hominidae.